RNAcentral lists this ribosomal RNA (475 nucleotides) under Shigella sonnei. RNAcentral describes it as "bacterial SSU rRNA". It matches the Rfam family "Bacterial small subunit ribosomal RNA", at positions 36 to 522 of the family's 1533-position model. Lineage: Bacteria; Pseudomonadati; Pseudomonadota; Gammaproteobacteria; Enterobacterales; Enterobacteriaceae. The record is from RNAcentral.
CUGGCGGCGUGCUUAACACAUGCAAGUCGAACGAUGAUGCCCAGCUUGCUGGGCGGAUUAGUGGCGAACGGGUGAGUAAUACGUGAGUAACCUGCCCUUGACUCUGGGAUAAGCCUGGGAAACUGGGUCUAAUACUGGAUACUACCUCUUACCGCAUGGUGGGUGGUGGAAAGGGUUUUACUGGUUUUGGAUGGGCUCACGGCCUAUCAGCUUGUUGGUGGGGUAAUGGCUCACCAAGGCGACGACGGGUAGCCGGCCUGAGAGGGUGACCGGCCACACUGGGACUGAGACACGGCCCAGACUCCUACGGGAGGCAGCAGUGGGGAAUAUUGCACAAUGGGCGGAAGCCUGAUGCAGCGACGCCGCGUGAGGGAUGACGGCCUUCGGGUUGUAAACCUCUUUCAGUAGGGAAGAAGCGAGAGUGACGGUACCUGCAGAAGAAGCGCCGGCUAACUACGUGCCAGCAGCCGCGGUA